Molecule: ribosomal RNA, 256 nt
Filed under: uncultured Bacillota bacterium
Lineage: Bacteria; Bacillati; Bacillota
Description: uncultured Firmicutes bacterium partial 16S ribosomal RNA
Rfam family: Bacterial small subunit ribosomal RNA
Source: RNAcentral
GCCGCGUGAGUGAUGACGGCCUUCGGCUCUGUAAAGCUCUGUUGUUAGGGAAGAACAAGUGCCAUACUAACUGCUCGGACCUUGACCGUACCCUAACCAAAAGCCACCGCCAACUACCUGCCCGCAGCCGCGGUAAUACCUAAGUGGCAAGCGUUGUCCGGAAUUAUUGGGCGUAAAGGGCCCGCAAGCGGUUUCUUAAGUCCGAAGUGAAAGCCCCCGGCUCAACCGGGGAAGGGCAUUGGAAACUGGGAAACUU